Molecule: long non-coding RNA, 318 nt
Organism: Diceros bicornis minor
Lineage: Eukaryota; Metazoa; Chordata; Mammalia; Perissodactyla; Rhinocerotidae
Exons: 3
Source: RefSeq, a predicted model, not a curated record
CAUUCAGCGUUUAAAUAAGACAUGGAGAUGGGUGUCCAGGUGGGUAGGUCUCUCUCCAUGAGAGCACCACCUGGGUGGACCAGACACCCCCCACAGGACUGCCAUUGCCCUUCAGAAUCAGUUUCCCGAAGUGCCAGACCCUGACUUGAACUAAAUUGAAGAUUUUCAAGUGUUUGCUUUGCAGCAACAGAACUCUCUGUCCACCUGAAAUCAAGAAUCUUUAAAACAAGAGGAACUGCAAAAAAUUUAAAACCUUGUGCAGAAUGGACCAGUGGGAGAGGAGGAAGCUGCUCACGGAGAUGAGUGGAGGCUCGAGAU